AACGAACGCUGGCGGCAGGCUUAACACAUGCAAGUCGAGCGCCCCGCAAGGGGAGCGGCAGACGGGUGAGUAACGCGUGGGGAUCUGCCUAGUGGUACGGAACAACACGGGGAAACUCGUGCUAAUACCGUAUAAGUCCUUCGGGAGAAAGAUUUAUCGCCAUUAGAUGAACCCGCGUCUGAUUAGCUAGUUGGUGAGGUAACGGCUCACCAAGGCGACGAUCAGUAGCUGGUCUGAGAGGAUGAUCAGCCACACUGGGACUGAGACACGGCCCAGACUCCUACGGGAGGCAGCAGUGGGGAAUAUUGGACAAUGGGGGCAACCCUGAUCCAGCCAUGCCGCGUGAGUGAUGAAGGCCUUAGGGUUGUAAAGCUCUUUCGCUAGGGAAGAUAAUGACGGUACCUAGAGAAGAAGCCCCGGCUAACUUCGUGCCAGCCGCCGCCGUAACAC
This 450-nucleotide ribosomal RNA is filed under the name uncultured bacterium. RNAcentral's name for it is "bacterial SSU rRNA". It matches the Rfam family "Bacterial small subunit ribosomal RNA", at positions 29 to 526 of the family's 1533-position model. The record is from RNAcentral.